CAGUAGCCGCGGUAAUACGUAGGUCCCGAGCGUUGUCCGGAUUUAUUGGGCGUAAAGCGGGCGCAGGCGGUUAGAUAAGUCUGAAGUUAAAGGCUGUGGCUUAACCAUAGUACGCUUUGGAAACUGUUUAACUUGAGUGCAGAAGGGGAGAGUGGAAUUCCAUGUGUAGCGGUGAAAUGCGUAGAUAUAUGGAGGAACACCGGUGGCGAAAGCGGCUCUCUGGUCUGUCACUGACGCUGAGGCUCGAAAGCGUGGGUAGCGAACAGGAUUAGAGACCCCAGUAGUCCCUGUCUCUUAUACA
This 301-nucleotide ribosomal RNA is filed under the name uncultured bacterium. RNAcentral describes it as "partial 16S ribosomal RNA". It matches the Rfam family "Bacterial small subunit ribosomal RNA", at positions 509 to 808 of the family's 1533-position model. The record is from RNAcentral.